This 469-nucleotide unclassified non-coding RNA is filed under the name Hevea brasiliensis (rubber tree). The record is from RNAcentral. Lineage: Eukaryota; Viridiplantae; Streptophyta; Magnoliopsida; Malpighiales; Euphorbiaceae.
GUUUUUCCUCUUCAAAAGGUAGAAGAUCGUCGGUUUCUACGUCAUCAGAUAGCGAGCUACCGGCAAGGUUAUCGGUGUUUAAGAAGCUGAUACCGUGUAGUGUGGAUGGGAAAGUGAAGGAGAGUUUCGCGAUAGUGAAGAAAUCUCAGGACCCGUACUAAGAUUUCAAGAGAUCGAUGAUGGAAAUGAUUUUAGAGAAGGAAAUGUUUGAGAAGAAUGAGCUGGAACAGCUUUUACAAUGUUUUCUGUCGUUGAACGGAAAGCAUUAUCAUGGAGUGAUAGUUGAGGCGUUCUCAGACAUUUGGGAGACUUUGUUUUUAGGUAAUAAUGAUAGAGUAAGGAGGAUGUCAAUUCAUGAUCCCACACCCACCUACUGUAGGUAGUAGUAGAAGAACCUCCUUUGAUUAAUCAUGAUUUAGUUGUUAAUUAAUAAAUUUAACUUUUCUUUUAUGUGUUAAUUGUGAUUUAA